AACCUGGUUGAUCCUGCCAGUAGUCAUAUGCUUGUCUAAAAGACUAAGCCAUGCAUGUGUGAGUGUAAGCGAUUAAUAGUGGGACUGCGAAUGGCUCAUUAAAACAGUAAUAGUUGAUGUGAUGGGUGUAGAUGGAUACCCGUAGUAAUUCUAGAGCUAAUACAUGCCACGUGUUUAUUAGAUAUCGUCCCUCUGGGAACAACAAUAAGCGAGAACCGCGUCGGGAGACGCGGGGCAUCAUGCAAGUUUCUGCCCUAUCAGCUUUGGAUGGUAGUGUCUUGGACUACCAUGGCAGUGACGGGUGACGGAGAAUUAGGGUUCGAUUCCGGAGAGGGAGCCUGAGAGACGGCUACCACAUCUAAGGAAGGCAGCAGGCGCGCAAAUUACCCAAUCCUGACUCAGGGAGGUAGUGACCAGAAAUAACGACGACGGGUUUCGAUUCGUCGAUUGCAAUGAGCACAAUGUAAAAUUCUUAGCGAGUACCGACUGGAGGGCAAGUCUGGUGCCAGCAGCCGCGGUAAUUCCAGCUCCAGUAGCGUAUAUUAAAGUUGUUGCAGUUAAAAAGCUCGUAGUUGGACGUCUCUGCGACACGCAGCUCCGCCACGCAACUAGGUGCGUUCUUAAUUGAACGGUCUAGACCUGCGGGCCCUUUACCUUGAGGAAACUAGAGUGUUUAAGGCAGGCUAAGCCUGAAUACUGCAGCUGGGAAUAAUGCGCACGACUGUCUUGGCGAGGCAGCUCCACACUUUUAAUAGGAACAGUUGGGGGCAUUCGUACUCAGCAGUCAGAGGUGAAAUUCUUGGAUUUGCUGAAGACGGACUAAUGCGAAAGCAUUUGCCAAGGAUGUUUUCAUUAAUCAAGAACGAAAGUUAAGGGAUCCAAGACGAUCAGAUACCGUCCUAGUCUUAACCAUAAACGAUGCCGACUAGGGAUCGGGAGAGACGCACAAACUCUCUCGGCACCUCACGAGAAAUCCAAGUCUUUGGGUUCUGGGGGGAGUAUGGUCGCAAGACUGAACCUUAAAGGAAUUGACGGAAGGGCACCACAAGGAGUGGAGCCUGCGGCUUAAUUUGACUCAACACGGGGAAACUUACCAGGUCCAGACAUAGUGAGGAUUGACAGAUUGACAGCUCUUUCUUGAUCCUAUGGGUGGUGGUGCAUGGCCGUUCCUAGUUGGUGGAGUGAUCUGUCUGGUUAAUUCCGAUAACGAACGAGACCUCAGCCUGCUAACUAGAUCUUCUUAGAGGGACUUCCUGCUCGCGUGGGAGGAAGUGAGGCAAUAACAGGUCUGUGAUGCCCUUAGAUGUCCUGGGCCGCACGCGCGCUACACUGACGCAACCUGCAAGUUCCAAGCCUGUCAAGGUCUGGCAAACUGCCAACUGCGUCGUAGUUGGAACUGACCCUUGCAAUUCUUGGUCACAAACCAGGAAUUCCUAGUAAGCGCAAGUCAUCAGCUUGCACUGACUAAGUCCCUGCCCUUUGUACACACCGCCCGUCGCUCCUACCGAUUCCGAGUGAUCAGGUGAACCUCUCGGACCCUGGAAGUUAAGUGAACCUUAUCACUUAGAGGAAGGAGAAGUCGUAACAAGGUAUCCGUAGGUGAACCUGCAGAAGGAUCA
RNAcentral lists this ribosomal RNA (1619 nucleotides) under Kovalevaia sulcata. Its description in RNAcentral is "SSU rRNA". It matches the Rfam family "Eukaryotic small subunit ribosomal RNA". Lineage: Eukaryota; Ciliophora; Karyorelictea; Protostomatida; Trachelocercidae. The record is from RNAcentral.